UCCUACGGGAGGCAGCAGUGAGGAAUAUUGGUCAAUGGGCUUACGCCUGAACCAGCCAAGUCGCGUGAGGGAAGACUGCCCUAUGGGUUGUAAACCUCUUUUGUCAGGGAGCAAUUGGCGCUACGUGUAGCGUUAUCGAGAGUACCUGAAGAAAAAGCAUCGGCUAACUCCGUGCCAGCAGCCGCGGUAAUACGGAGGAUGCGAGCGUUAUCCGGAAUGAUUGGGCGUAAAGGGUGCGUAGGCGGCCUGCUAAGCCUGGAGUGAAAGGUACCGGCUCAACCGGUACAGGCUCUGGAAACUGGCGG
Molecule: ribosomal RNA, 305 nt
Filed under: uncultured bacterium
Lineage: Bacteria
Description: bacterial SSU rRNA
Rfam family: Bacterial small subunit ribosomal RNA
Source: RNAcentral